Molecule: ribosomal RNA, 481 nt
Filed under: uncultured bacterium
Lineage: Bacteria
Description: bacterial SSU rRNA
Rfam family: Bacterial small subunit ribosomal RNA
Source: RNAcentral
AUUGAACGCUGGCGGCAUGCCUUACACAUGCAAGUCGAACGGCAGCGGACCUUCGGGUGCCGGCGAGUGGCGAACGGGUGAGUAAUAUAUCGGAACGUACCUUUCAGUGGGGGAUAACGUAGCGAAAGUUACGCUAAUACCGCAUAUUCUGUGAGCAGGAAAGCAGGGGAUCGCAAGACCUUGCGCUGAUUGAGCGGCCGAUAUCAGAUUAGCUAGUUGGUGAGGUAAAGGCUCACCAAGGCGACGAUCUGUAGCGGGUCUGAGAGGAUGAUCCGCCACACUGGAACUGAAACACGGUCCAGACUCCUACGGGAGGCAGCAGUGGGGGAAUGUUGGACAAUGGGCGCAAGCCUGAUCCAGCCAUGCCGCGUGAGUGAUGAAGGCCCUAGGGUUGUAAAGCUCUUUCAACGGUGAAGAUAAUGACGGUAGCCGUAGAAGAAGCCCCGGCUAACUUCGUGCCAGCAGCCGCGGUAAAGUGACU